GCAGAACAUCUGCUGAGUCAGCGUGAAGCAACGAAAGCAGCUACUGGCAAGGUUGAGUGCGCUCUUUGUUCAGAAUACCACCAGGCUCAGUCUUCACUGUGAUUCGUGCUCUGUUACUGUCCAAUCUAGAAACUCUAUCAAAUAACAGCAUGAAGCCAGCGCAUUUGCAACGACAUUGGAAGGCAAAACACCCUGUGCAUGUGGGGUAGCCAGGAGAAUGUUUUCAGAGUUCCGGAAUUGCCAGCUUUAAAUGAAAACAAGCUUUGGUGCUAUGGGAGCUCAGAGGGCAGGUGCCAGAGAGGGGCUAUUGCUGAUGAAGCAGAUGUUGCUGAAACCAGUCCGAACAUGGAAGUCACCCCUAUCUGUAUGGUCCUUGUGCCUCAUAUGUGGCUGCACGGCGCCUUGGUCCAGCCAACCAGAAGUGGAAUCCAUGCACAUCCCUCUCCACCACUCACCUCUCUUCCUUCAUUCUGUCUCAGGCUUUAGGCCCAUCGAUGCCCCCUGGUAUUUGGGGCUCCCUUUCCCUGCACUCACUUCACCUGUUCCCUCCCCCUGCAGAGCCAGGCCCCAAGGCUUUCUCUAUAAACAUUUCCAGAAGCCAGGGUCCCACGUCCUUCCGACUGCUGUCCCGGGCAUGUGGCUGGCUGUGUGCAUACAGAGAGUUGACUCACAGGGCUCUGUGCCUAUGCUCUCAAGGGUACCAGCUGCUGGCUGCAACCCCACCUUACUCCAAACUCAUUCUAAUACACAGAGGGUGGUACUUGCACUUAACAUCUUUGACACUGGAUUUGGGGAAUAAAGGUUAGACUCCUUAGAAAAGGGCAAUGCACAUUUAAUACACAAAGCCUGGCAGAGUCCAGUAGUGGCUGCAGCCUUUUUUAAGGGUGACCAGAGGUUAAGGGGGAAAUAUCGGCACCGCCACGGGGGGCGGUUUUUUUUGUUUUGUUUUUUUACACUCACUUGUCCGGGAGUUUGGCUGCAAUUUGGCAGAAAGCCCUUCAGUCACGCAUGAUCUUCAGUGGUAUUUCAGCAUGGGGUAAUAAAUCUUGUGUCCAAAGACAGAAGCACCUGCCACCAAAAUACCGCCAAAGACUGUCCGCGACUGAAGGACUCUCUGCCGAAUUGCCGCCGAAGACCAGGAAACAAAAUAUCAGGACAAAUGGAGUCCCGACUGCACUCUGGUCGGGAUGUUGGACAAACUCUUCAAAAUCAGGACAGUCCAGAUUUUAUUGGGACGUCUGGUCACCCUAAGCCUUUUGGAGGGAGGGGUGGUGAUGGGAUCUAGGGAAUGCCGCUGCCUGCUCCAGAAGUGACUGGCAGGUGAGCAUGGUGCUGUGUCCCUACAGCACUCCCCAACAGUACAGCUCACAUCUGCAUCGCAUGCCAACCCUGCCAACCCACUGCCUGCAUGUCCCAGCACACAAUGCAGCUGUUCUCACCACAGACCUGAAAUUACCCUAAGUCAGUAGAAAAUCCCAGCCUUCUGCACAGUCAGAUGCCAGAUAUCCUGCUGCAGAGUGUGGUUCACUCCUCACCUUUCCCAGGUGUUUCCCACUGGCAAUGAGUUGAACCGACCAUUCACAUUCACUUCUGUCCCCAUUCUCCAGAGCUUGGCAUUCUGUGCAAUAACGGGAACUGAUCACCAGCUAAAUGUCAAGUAUCCCCCUGUGAAAAUGUUCAGGGUCCCCCCACCACACACACACAGAGAAUACGUUUCAAUGAAGAAAGCAUCCACACCAUCAAAAACAAACCAAAGAUGAGAGAACUCAGCCACCCCCGAGACCAUGUCCUCUGCCUCUCCAGCCCUGUGUGAUCUCAUUGUGUACUAGCAUCUGAAAGCCCAUUCCAUCACAUGGGCGUGGCGGGUGACCCACCUUCUGUGCAGUCUCCCUCAAACAACCAAUGAAAUUGUUGCAUGUAAAUUAAUUGUCAAGUAAGUGUGGUGACUGGCUGAGUUACCUCACAGUGGCCUAGGACCCUGGGCAUGGCAUAGAUACAUGCCUUACUGUAGCUGUACAUCACACGGGUGUAAUCGUGAAGACAAAAUGCCUGAGAACUUAAAAACUGAAUGGUAACAGACCGUGAAUCCCACUGAAGACUGAACCUGGUGAUAUUCUGAAGCAAAAGAGCUCUAGAGGCUGCCUGUAGCUGCUUCCACCAUCUCCUCACACUGACUCAGACUUUCCAGCCUCCAGGGUGAUGUUCCUGGAAUCUUCUUAUAUCUAUGAAUAUGCACAGCUCAAGGGCCGCAGGACAGUGUCAGCAUGGGAACUUCUGGAGAAUGUUAAACAAAAGCUACUAAGGCACUCGUCAUCUUCCCCAUAUGGACUCUGAACUGCCUAUCGUGAAGGAACAGUUCAACGACACCUGUGACCCAAGGUAGCAGGACCCGUGAUACCUUCAUGAGCAGGCCAGUUUGCCCUCCCAUAUCGUUAGGUCGAUGAAAACAGCACCUGUUUUCAAUUUUCUCUGGAAGCCAUUUUCAACAAAUGCGGUCAAUGCAUGUACUUGGUUGCAUGUGCUAUGGCCAUGACAUCAAUGAAAACAAAAUACCCAGCCAGGAUGAACGCUGACCAUGACAUGCGUGUGUGCUUGUCAAAGACACCCCCAUGCCUGGACAGAAUUGUUGAUCAGCACCAGCAACAAGUUUCACACUAAGGGCAGGUCUGCACUACGGGGGAGAUGUUCUCCAGUUGACCUCCCUUACUCUUCUGGAAGAGCUGGAGUACUGGGGUUGUCCAGAGAACACUAGACCUGCAAAGUCGAUCCCUGCUGCAUCAAUUGCAGCACCGUCGAUUUCCCUGUAGUGAAGACUAGCCCUGACUUUUCAGCUCGGCUUUAAAGCAUCAGAUAAAACAAAAGAAGAGAAGCAAAGGGCUCUUUUGAUUGCACUGCUCUUCCAUCACAGCAAGGCUCCUUUUUGGCUCACGCAACCGUCACAUGGGGCCCGCUUCCCUGCCGUCUCUCAGCCCCUGCCCCAUUCUCUGAGCACUGGUCCCAGUUAGUCAUUGACCAGCAGCUACCUUGUGCUAAUUGACUUUAGCCAGCGUUCGCCUACCCUUUUCUGUCCCGCUCUGCAGAGAAGGGACGGCAAAGCUGACUGAAACUGACAAGAUUUCUUUUCAUAAAAGAAAAGGGAGUGAGCCUACACUGGCUCCAUCAAAGACUUUUAUUAAAGCCACACAGGGAAAAAGCUGCCCUCUCAGACAGCUGUCGGUAUCGAGAAAACAUGAAAGAAACCAUCAGCUAUAAUCAGCUCAGGAAAUUUAUUGCAUGUUUGACCCUGAUGUGGCUGUGUGCUGCUCAAGGAAGAUUUCUUUGAAGGUGUUGCAAGUUUAUUGAUUGUGAAAAAUGUCAGUGUGUCACAUGCCCAAUGAACUUGGCACUUCUUGCAAUCAAUACACUAAUUGCCUUCUCUUUAGAGAGGCCUUUAAUGUAAUUAACCCUCCCCCCCCCACUUGUUUUGCCAACUAUCAUGUUUUAAUAAAUAGUUGAUCUGGGCUCUCUAUCCAGAGUGCCUCGGCAGAGCGGAGGGGAUGGAUUUCGUAGAGGAGACUGGCUUUCUCAUAGAGACCUAGCAUCCAUUUUCAGGAGCCCAUAAAGCUGUAUAUCAACUUAGCAGCAGUGCCUAUGUAACCCUCACACCUUCUAGGUGUGGUAUUCUGUCCCAUCUAAUGGCACUGACACUGCUUAGAGAGAAAAAGAGAUUGUAUGUGCUCUACAGCCUUAGCUAAUAGCCAGUUGGCUUUUAGCUCAUGCACUAAGCUCCAGAGGUCCCUGGUUCAAUCCUGCACACCGGCGACCAGGGUCUGUUGGCGUGAUAGAACACUACACCCAGAAAGUGUGUGGGUUACAUCUAGUCAGAGCCAAAGGCAUCAUUAUACUGAUUCAAUAACUGGUUUGUCUGUGCCUCUCUUCAGAUACAGAGGGACAAAAUCCCUUUAGUGGAGAAGAACGUAAGAGACUGAAAAGGUCCUAACCUCUCUGGACACUGAAUGGGGUGGCUGUUCAUGUGCUGGCGCAGGAAGGUCAUGUCUGAAAUGAAACGUUAGGAGAUGCACAGAUGGCAGCCUUGGGUUUGCUGGAAGCUCCAAUGUCACCGUUAAUUUACAUAUAUAUUGGCAGCGGCAAAAUUGAUAUAGCAGAGAUUAACUGGGGUUACAAACUGACUAACUGAUAGAUCUCAAGAUGUAAGUGUUAAUGGGGGCUCAGCACCUAAUGGAGGUGUUUCUAGGGCGUUCCCACAUGUAACUGUUCUGGGUCCAGUGCUAUUCAAUAUAUGUCUCAAUGAUCUGGAAUAAACUAUAUCAUUGCUGGUAAAGUCUGCAGCUGAUACACAAAGAUUGGCGGGUGGUUAAUGAUGAGGGCAGAUCAGUGAUAGAGAACAAUCUGGAUCCCUUGGUUUGCUGGGUGUGAUCAAACAACGGGUGUUUUAAUGCAGUUAGCUCCAGGGUCACCAGUUUGGAACCAAACGUGUAGGUCGCACUGAGAAGGUGUGGGGUUGUGUCCUGGAAAGCAGGGACUCUGCAAAUGACUUAGGGUCAGAGCAGAAACCAGCUGAACAUGAGCACACAGUGCAGUGCUGGGGCUAAGAGGGUGAACCUGGUGUAGACACUCCUCUGCAAGGCAGAGAGCUCCCAGGAGCUGGGAUUGGGGCUCCACGUGUGCUUAUGGGAAGCCAUGUAUAUUUAUGUCCCCAUAGUAACAGUGUCUUAGGAGGGGUAAUGCAGGCACAGAUCUACAGGGAACCGUGAUGUCAGAGCAGG
This is a long non-coding RNA of Gopherus flavomarginatus (Mexican gopher tortoise), 4766 nucleotides long. RefSeq lists it as uncharacterized. The record is from RefSeq and is a predicted model, not a curated record. Lineage: Eukaryota; Metazoa; Chordata; Testudines; Testudinidae. The transcript is spliced from 7 exons.